GUGCUCAGGGUGGCAUGGCAGCACGUGUACUAAACUGGACCAUUACAGAGAUUAGCAGGACCCUUGUUCAAGAAUAACAUGCAAAUUCUUGAAACAUUUUAUGUUUUU
Molossus molossus (Pallas's mastiff bat) is the source of this 108-nucleotide small nuclear RNA. NCBI's taxonomy places the organism in Eukaryota, Metazoa, Chordata, Mammalia, Chiroptera, Molossidae. The record is from RefSeq and is a predicted model, not a curated record.